CGGAUUCAGGUUGGCAUGGGAACUGCACAGAAUGUUAAGCAACAAACAGAAAAAAACCAAAGCAUGUGUCAAAUGAACCUAAGAAAUAGAUGGCUCAGGAGAUGGUGUUAGCAUUGGAAAGAACAAAACAUGAAUCUGAAGCCUUCUACCACACAGCCCUCUCAAGAUAACUGGCCAUGACUGUGUCUGAUAGCCAAACUACAGAUGGCCAUACGACAGGCUUUAAUAAUGGAAAUAUGCAUAGAAGUGAACGUGCCAGCUCCCAGCAAAGGACUACAUGGGAUGUUUUGAAUUCUGUUGAUUAUCACAAUCAAAUCAUGCCUCAGCCAGAUAUACCCCUAGGAUCAAAUUGA
This 353-nucleotide long non-coding RNA is filed under the name Vulpes vulpes (red fox). RNAcentral's name for it is "lncRNA (ENSVVUG00000003170.1)". Lineage: Eukaryota; Metazoa; Chordata; Mammalia; Carnivora; Canidae. The record is from RNAcentral.